UGCAUCACGUGUAACCUCCCUA
Molecule: microRNA, 22 nt
Filed under: Ornithorhynchus anatinus (platypus)
Lineage: Eukaryota; Metazoa; Chordata; Mammalia; Monotremata; Ornithorhynchidae
Description: oan-miR-1421ad-3p
Source: miRBase by way of RNAcentral